Molecule: ribosomal RNA, 468 nt
Filed under: uncultured bacterium
Lineage: Bacteria
Description: partial 16S ribosomal RNA
Rfam family: Bacterial small subunit ribosomal RNA
Source: RNAcentral
GACGAACGCUGGCGGCGUGCUUAACACAUGCCAGUCGAACGGUGAAGCUCCAGCUUGCUGGAGUGGAUCAGUGGCGAACGGGUGAGUAACACGUGAGCAACCUGCCCCUGACUCUGGAAUAAGCGCUGGAAACGGCGUCUAAUACUGGAUACGAGAAGGGUCCGCAUGGGCACUUUCUGGAAAGUUUUUCGGUUGGGGAUGGGCUCGCGGCCUAUCAGCUUGUUGGUCGGGUAGUGGCUCACCAAGGCGACCACGGGUAGCCGGCCUGAGAGGGCGACCGGCCACACUGGGACUGAGACACGGCCCAGACUCCUACGGGAGGCAGCAGUGGGGAAUAUUGCACAAUGGGCGAAAGCCUGAUGCAGCGACGCCGCGUGAGGGAUGACGGCCUUCGGGUUGUAAACCUCUUUCAGCAGGGAAGAAGCGAAAGUGACGGUACCUGCAGAAGAAGCACCGGCUAACUACGUG